Molecule: ribosomal RNA, 253 nt
Filed under: uncultured bacterium
Lineage: Bacteria
Description: partial 16S ribosomal RNA
Rfam family: Bacterial small subunit ribosomal RNA
Source: RNAcentral
UACGUAGGGGGCAAGCGUUAUCCGGAUUUACUGGGUGUAAAGGGGGCGCAGACGGCGAUGCAAGCCAGGAGUGAAAGCCCGGGGCCCAACCCCGGGACUGCUCUUGGAACUGCGUGGCUGGAGUGCAGGAGGGGCAGGCGGAAUUCCUGGUGUAGCGGUGAAAUGCGUAGAUAUCAGGAGGAACGCCGGUGGCGAAGGCGGCCUGCUGGACUGCAACUGACGUUGAGGCCCGAAAGCAUGGGGAGCAAACAGG